GCUGUUGUGUAGAUGGACAAGGAGUGACCUGUUUAACAUUCCUCUCAACUCUGGGCUCUUCCAGAACCUGGUCUCAGAAGAAUAGAUUUAAAGGGCAACCAGUAAGGAAUGUGACUCCUCAUAAUAUGAGCUCAGCAAGACCUCUGAUCACUAAAUGCAAAGCUGGCUCCUGUCGCUGUGCUGCUGUAUGACAGCUUAAUAAUGGCUUUCACAGAUUUGGAGAAAUGUAGCAUCCAUCACUUGCUCACCAGUGGAUCCUCUGCAGUGAAUGGGUGCCAUCAGAAUGAGAGUCCAAACGGCUGAUAAAAACAACACAAUAAUCCACAAGUAAUCCACACCACUCCAGUCCAUCAGUUAACAUCUUGUGAAGUGAAAAGCUGUGUGUUUGUAAGAAACAAAUCCAUCAAGAUGUUUUAAUUUUUUAUGAGGGAGUUUGAAGAUGCUGCACUUUCUCCUGAAACUCAUCCAGUGAACGAGUGAACAUGUGGGCCAGACUGACAGGACACCCUGAAGAGAAGAACACAUCAGUUUAG
Molecule: long non-coding RNA, 533 nt
Organism: Cyprinus carpio carpio
Lineage: Eukaryota; Metazoa; Chordata; Actinopteri; Cypriniformes; Cyprinidae
Source: Ensembl